CCAAUCCUACUUUAAUCUUUGCUCUCCUUCCCCAGCCAAUCGCGGGACAAGGAGGAGGUGGAUGUGUUGGGGGAGGCAUGGAUGUCCAUCGAGUGAAGAGGUCUGAGCCCCCCGUGGCUGACCAGGUGGAGCUGCUGCGCCAGUGACGCUCGACUGCCUCUCUGCAUGUCCAGGUG
Corapipo altera (White-ruffed manakin) is the source of this 176-nucleotide long non-coding RNA. RefSeq lists it as uncharacterized. The record is from RefSeq and is a predicted model, not a curated record. Lineage: Eukaryota; Metazoa; Chordata; Aves; Passeriformes; Pipridae. The transcript has 3 exons.